CCUCCUUUCUACGGAGUACAUUAGAAGUUUAUAUAACUUCUUCACUUAAUUUAUAGUUAUGGAAUAAUAUUUGUAUCCAGUUUUGAGAGUUCUAUCUCUCAAUUUUGUUCUUUGAAAACUGAAUAUAGACAUUGAAAAAUUAAAAUUAAUAUUUCAAAGUUUAGAUCAACCUAUAGAAUAUUUAUAAAAAGACAAACAAUAGGUCAUACUA
Molecule: unclassified non-coding RNA, 211 nt
Filed under: Metamycoplasma buccale
Lineage: Bacteria; Bacillati; Mycoplasmatota; Mycoplasmoidales; Metamycoplasmataceae
Description: Mycoplasma buccale partial miscellaneous RNA
Source: RNAcentral